RNAcentral lists this ribosomal RNA (434 nucleotides) under uncultured Clostridium sp. Its description in RNAcentral is "partial 16S ribosomal RNA". It matches the Rfam family "Bacterial small subunit ribosomal RNA", at positions 341 to 792 of the family's 1533-position model. Lineage: Bacteria; Bacillati; Bacillota; Clostridia; Eubacteriales; Clostridiaceae. The record is from RNAcentral.
ACGGGAGGCAGCAGUGGGGAAUAUUGGGCAAUGGGGGAAACCCUGAUCCAGCGACGCCGCGUGAGUGAAGAAGUAUUUCGGUAUGUAAAGCUCUAUCAGCAAGGAAGAAAAUGACGGUACUUGACUAAGAAGCUCCGGCUAAAUACGUGCCAGCAGCCGCGGUAAUACGUAUGGAGCAAGCGUUAUCCGGAUUUACUGGGUGUAAAGGGAGCGUAGACGGCAAAGCAAGUCUGAAGUGAAAUGCCGGGGCUUAACCCCGGAACUGCUUUGGAAACUGUUUAGCUAGAGUGCAGGAGAGGUAAGCGGAAUUCCUAGUGUAGCGGUGAAAUGCGUAGAUAUUAGGAGGAACACCAGUGGCGAAGGCGGCUUUCUGGACUGUAACUGACACUGAGGCUCGAAAGCGUGGGGCGCAAACAGGAUUAGAUACCCUGGUA